Molecule: long non-coding RNA, 406 nt
Filed under: Polistes fuscatus (common paper wasp)
Lineage: Eukaryota; Metazoa; Arthropoda; Insecta; Hymenoptera; Vespidae
Description: uncharacterized LOC122524370
Source: RNAcentral
AGGAACCUUAGGACCCGCCCAUUUUUUCCGAUACAACAUCGAAUAGAGCCACUUGACUGAGGAUAAACAAGUCCGCCUACUGCAGGUACAGACCACCAGAACACAUAUCGUAAAUUUGUCAAGAAAAAGUAAUAAUGCAGUAAUAAUCGGUGGUGCGAAUGAAAAUUGAAAUUAGGUACAGGCACGUAAUAACGUGGUAUUGUUAGGUUGCAACGUAGCCAGGAAAUGGAGGGUGUUUCGCAGAAGGGGAUUGGAAGCUUGCCUAGGAUGAUUAUCAGAGCGUCAAUGACUGGACAAUUGGCAACGAUCGGGAAUCGUUCCUACUACCAUCAAUAGUGAGAUGACGUUAGGAGAUAUGAAGGUGGAAAGAUUAGAAGAAGCAGAAGUAUAAGAAGAAGAAGAAGAA